UAAAAAUUUAUUAAUUUUUUUUUUUUCAUGUAAAUUUUUGUGUGAAUUUUAAUUAAAUUUUAAAAAUUUAAUUAAGAUAUAAUUUUAUUUGCAGUAUUUAAUUUUAUUAAUUUAAGUAAUUAAGAAAUAUAAAUAAAUUUUAUUAUGGACAGAUUUUGUGCCAGCAGUUGCGGUUAUACAAAAUAUAUAAAUAAAUUUUAUUAGUAAGUAAUUAUAUGAUUUUAUAAUAAAUAAAUUUUUUAUUUUUUAAGUGAAAUUUUAAAUAAAAUUUAAAUUUUUAUAUUUAAUUUUAUUAUUAUGAAAUUUAAUAUUAAACUAGGAUUAGAUACCCUAUUAUUUUAAAUGUAAAAAAAAAUACUUAAGUAGUAAUAGUUAUGAUCUUCAAAUUUAAAGAUUUUGGCGGUAUUUUAGUCUAUUCAGAGGAACUUGUUCUAUAAUUGAUAUUCCACGAUAUACUUUACUUAAUUUAAAAAUUUGUAUAUCAUUGUUUAUAUAAAAUUUUAUAAGAAAAUUAAUUUUUAAUAUUUUUUAUUAAAAUAAAUUUCAAAUCAAGGUGCAGUUUAUAGUUAAGUAGAAAUGAGUUACAUUAAAAUUAUUUAUAUGGAUAUAAAUAAGAAUUUAUUUAUUGAAGGUGGAUUUGAUAGUAAUUAAAUUAAAUUAAAUUUUUUGAUUUAAGCUCUAAAAUAUGUACAUAUCGCCCGUCGCUCUUAUAUAAAAUAAGAUAAGUCGUAACAUAGUAGAUGUACUGGAAAGUGUAUCUAGAAUGAU
This 768-nucleotide non-coding RNA is filed under the name Haliplus immaculatus. The record is from RNAcentral. Lineage: Eukaryota; Metazoa; Arthropoda; Insecta; Coleoptera; Haliplidae.